UUACUCAGACACAUUUGUUUGUCACUCUCUACUCCGGCGACCCACUCGUCUCCGACCACCAUAUCAGCUACGGAGAUCUUCUCAUUGGCGUCAGUGAGCUCUUUGUUCUUCCCUCGUGUUCGUGAAUCCCUCACUGAAUCUCUCUCGUCGUGAACUGUUCGUGAAUCUCAUUGAAACCCUAACUAACCAAUCUCUCUCCUGUUCGUGAACUUUUCUUCGUUUUCGCGAUUGAACGAAGUUUCGCGUCUGUUCUGUUUGCGAUUGAACGAAGUUUUGUGCUGAUUUUUGAGAAAUAUGUUAAGGAUUGGAUUGCAAUUGCUGCACCAUUCCAGGGUAAAUAUGCAUAUUGCAGAAAUGGUGAUACAAUCUUGUUACAUAUGCAUAUGGUGAUACAAGCUUGUUUCAUAUUCAUAUUGCAGAAAUUGAUUAGGUACAUAUGCAUUUUAUUUAUUAGACAAGUUUGUUUUGAAGCAUUUUGGUUAUAUUAUACCAAUGGAAAGAGAUCUAUUAGAUUUGUUCUCCAUAAAAAAUUGGAAGUUUUCUUGGUCUCUUGUCGCAACAAUUGCUUCGUCUUUGGCAUAGCUUCAGAUUGCUGCAUUUCAGGUAAUGCAUCAGCAAAAUUGAUAAGCAAACAUUCCUGAUAGAACCUGCAAAAUUCAUUAAGUGCUAGUCUAAUAUGUUGGAAUUCUUAGUCAUUGAAAAAAAGUAUCACUCGCUGAUUAAGUGCUAGUCUAAUUAAUUUAGUUUUUACUUUAUUCUUUUGGUUUUUGUUUUUCAGACCUUGAUGCAAUCAUUUAUGUUCUGGUACUUUAGAAACUUGACUCAUUUAUUUUGUGUAUCAUGAUUUAAUGCUUUCAUUUGAUUUUUGCAGUGAAUUUGGAUACUGUUUCUAACAAUGGUUAGCACUUUCAUGGUUGCACUGAUUGUAUUAAACAAUGCUACGGCUCGACACCGCCAUUCAAGUGUAGAGAUGGACAUUCAACCAAUGUUCCAAUUAUAAGGUAUAGGAUUGAUGUUGAGGUCUGCGAUGGCAAUGAUUCAGCCAAGUUUGUCUUUCUAUUCAUUUCUUACUUAUAUCUUUCUACUGAACUGUUAUUAUUGUUUGCCUCAUGAUUGAUUCCCUCAUGUUUUGAUCUGUCUGUACCUUAACAACAUUAAAGUGUUUGGCACAAAAUUAAAGUUUGUCUUGUUUUUAUGCAUAUGAAAGGCUAAAGAGUUGGGUAAAGAACCCACAGUGGACGAGGUCUUUCUAAGAACUCAUAUUCGUAAGAAGGACUCAUCUUGGGUUGAUCUUAGAUCUCAAAACACUUAUUUUUCAGAUUAAGUUGAAUCAGGCCUCAGAAGGUGCGGAUGAGAGUGGCUCCCAAUUGGUCAACUCGGCGACUCGUUUAAAGAUGUGGGCCCAAUCAGCUGGGGGGAAAAAUCGAGGACGUCUCUAUGGUGUUGGAGAUAGGUCCUCGAAUUAUAGACCAGGUGUUUCAAGUGUCGCCCCAGACACACUUGAGGAGCGAGCAAAGGCAGCAGAGGAUGAGGUUCGAAAUACAAGGGAGGAACUUAGGCAAGCCGAGCUUAAGCGACAAAAGGAAGUUCAGCAGUCAGAGCAGCGUGCUGCAGAUUUCCCGAGGCAGCUGAUAAUGUUGACAAACAAUGUAGCUGCCAUACAGGUUAUGAUGAGGAUGAUUCCGAGGAUGGAUCCGAGGAUGAUGACAAUGAGGAAAAUUGGUAUUUAGUGUGUGUUGUUACUAUGACUUCAUCUUUAUGCUUAGAUUAUUAAUGGUGCAUUUUGUUAUUAUGACUGAUUAAGCUUAAACUAACGACUAUAUCUUUUGUCCAAACUACUAGUUUCUUAUCUGUUUAUUUUGACACUUGGAAUAGUGUCAAUUUUUGUUAACACUGCAUUUUAGUUUGAGGAAAUGAUCUUUUGAUGACUCAAUUUAAUUAGUUUUGAAUUUAGUUAUUGUUUAGUUUGUUUGGAAUUGGUUCUUAUGUUGGAUGACAUUGGAGUAAGUUAACACUCCUGACAAUAGGCAAAAGUUGGU
Long non-coding RNA from Trifolium pratense (red clover), 2039 nucleotides. RefSeq lists it as uncharacterized. The transcript is spliced from 5 exons. The record is from RefSeq and is a predicted model, not a curated record. NCBI's taxonomy places the organism in Eukaryota, Viridiplantae, Streptophyta, Magnoliopsida, Fabales, Fabaceae.